CCUACGGGUGGCAGCAGUAAGGAAUCUUGCGCAAUGGGCGAAAGCCUGACGCAGCGACGCCGCGUGGGCGAUGAAGGCCUUCGGGUUGUAAAGCCCUUUUCUGGGGGACGAGGAAGGACGGUACCCCAGGAAUAAGUCACGGCUAACUACGUGCCAGCAGCCGCGGUAAAACGUAGGUGGCAAGCGUUGUCCGAAGUCACUGGGCGUAAAGCGCGCGUAGGCGGGCCACUAAGUCGGAUGUGAAAUCUCCACGGCUCAACCGGGAAAGUGCAUCCGAUACUGGUGGUCUUGAGGCGUGGAGAGGGAAGUGGAAUUCCUGGUGUAGCGGUGAAAUGCGUAGAUAUCAGGAGGAACACCCGUGGCGAAGGCGGCUUCCGGGCCAUGGCCUGACGCUGAGGUGCGAAAGCCAGGGGAGCGAACGGGAUUAGAUACCCCUGUAGU
This 441-nucleotide ribosomal RNA is filed under the name uncultured Armatimonadota bacterium. RNAcentral describes it as "uncultured Armatimonadetes bacterium partial 16S ribosomal RNA". It matches the Rfam family "Bacterial small subunit ribosomal RNA", at positions 338 to 794 of the family's 1533-position model. Lineage: Bacteria; Bacillati; Armatimonadota. The record is from RNAcentral.